AUGACGAACGCUGGCGGCGUGCCUAAUACAUGCAAGUCGAGCGAGUCUGCCUUGAAGAUCGGAGUGCUUGCACUCUGUGAAACAAGAUACAGGCUAGCGGCGGACGGGUGAGUAACACGUGGGUAACCUGCCCAAGAGAUCGGGAUAACACCUGGAAACAGAUGCUAAUACCGGAUAACAACAGAUGAUGCCUAUCAACUGUUUAAAAGAUGGUUCUGCUAUCACUCUUGGAUGGACCUGCGGUGCAUUAGCUAGUUGGUAGGGUAACGGCCUACCAAGGCGAUGAUGCAUAGCCGAGUUGAGAGACUGAUCGGCCACAUUGGGACUGAGACACGGCCCAAACUCCUACGGGAGGCAGCAGUAGGGAAUCUUCCACAAUGGACGCAAGUCUGAUGGAGCAACGCCGCGUGAGUGAAGAAGGGUUUCGGCUCGUAAAGCUCUGUUGUUGGUGAAGAAGGACAGGGGUAGUAACUGACCUUUGUUUGACGGUAAUCAAUUAGAAAGUCACGGCUAACUACGUGCCAGCAGCCGCGGUAAUACGUAGGUGGCAAGCGUUGUCCGGAUUUAUUGGGCGUAAAGCGAGUGCAGGCGGCUCGAUAAGUCUGAUGUGAAAGCCUUCGGCUCAACCGGAGAAUUGCAUCAGAAACUGUCGAGCUUGAGCACAGAAGAGGAGAGUGGAACCCCAGGUGUAGCGGUGAAAUGCGUAGAGAUCUGGAGGAAUACCGGUGGCGAAGGCGGCCCCCUGGACGAAGACUGACGCUCAGGUGCGAAAGCGUGGGGAGCAAACAGGAUUAGAUACCCUGGUAGUCCAUGCCGUAAACGAUGAGUGCUAAGUGUUGGGAGGUUUCCGCCUCUCAGUGCUGCAGCUAACGCAUUAAGCACUCCGCCUGGGGAGUACGACCGCAAGGUUGAAACUCAAAUGAAUUGACGGGGGCCCGCACAAGCGGUGGAGCAUGUGGUUUAAUUCGAUGCAACGCGAAGAACCUUACCUGGUCUUGACAUCCACGGAAGUUUUCAGAGAUGAGAAUGUGCCUUCGGGAACCGUGAGACAGGUGCUGCAUGGCUGUCGUCAGCUCGUGUUGUGAAAUGUUGGGUUAAGUCCCGCAACGAGCGCAACCCUUAUCCUUUGUUGCCAGCGGUCCGGCCGGGAACUCAAAGGAGACUGCCAGUGAUAAACUGGAGGAAGGUGGGGAUGACGUCAAGUCAUCAUGGCCCUUACGACCAGGGCUACACACGUGCUACAAUGGCGCAUACAAAGAGAAGCGACCUCGCGAGAGCAAGCGGACCUCAUAAAGUGCGUCGUAGUCCGGAUUGGAGUCUGCAACUCGACUCCAUGAAGUCGGAAUCGCUAGUAAUCGUGGAUCAGAAUGCCACGGUGAAUACGUUCCCGGGCCUUGUACACACCGCCCGUCACACCAUGGGAGUGGGUUGCAAAAGAAGUAGGUAGCUUAACCUUCGGGAGGGCGCUUACCACUUUGUGAUUCAUGACUGGG
Molecule: ribosomal RNA, 1493 nt
Filed under: uncultured bacterium
Lineage: Bacteria
Description: partial 16S ribosomal RNA
Rfam family: Bacterial small subunit ribosomal RNA
Source: RNAcentral